Molecule: ribosomal RNA, 432 nt
Filed under: uncultured bacterium
Lineage: Bacteria
Description: partial 16S ribosomal RNA
Rfam family: Bacterial small subunit ribosomal RNA
Source: RNAcentral
AACGAACGCUGGCGGCAUGCCUAACACAUGCAAGUCGAACGAGACCUUCGGGUCUAGUGGCGCACGGGUGCGUAACGCGUGGGAACCUGCCCUUAGGUUCGGAAUAACUCCCCGAAAGGGGUGCUAAUACCGGAUAAUGUCUUCGGACCAAAGAUUUAUCGCCUUUGGAUGGGCCCGCGUUGGAUUAGCUAGUUGGUAGGGUAAAAGCCUACCAAGGCGACGAUCCAUAGCUGGUCUGAGAGGAUGAUCAGCCACACUGGGACUGAGACACGGCCCAGACUCCUAGGGGAGGCAGGAGGGGGGAAUAUUGGACAAGGGGGGAAGGCCUGACCCAGCAAGGCCGGGGGGGUGAUGAAGGCCUUAGGGUUGUAAAGCUCUUUUACCCGGGAUGAAAAUGACAGUACCGGGAAAAUAAGCCCCGGCUAACCCCGU